Monodelphis domestica (gray short-tailed opossum) is the source of this 16786-nucleotide non-coding RNA. Lineage: Eukaryota; Metazoa; Chordata; Mammalia; Didelphimorphia; Didelphidae. The record is from RefSeq and is a predicted model, not a curated record.
AUGAUAUCAGUCCUAUUUAUGGAAGUCACAGGUGUGCCAUGGUUUGAAUUUAGUGGUGGAGCCACUAAAGGCAAACCUGGGAGUCAUUUGAAAAUACAAAUAGUUAGGAGGAGAAUCUGUAGUCAUUUCUUGGCUGGUAAUGGUCUCCCUCCACUUUCCUUUUUCUUUUUUUCCUUUCCUUUUUCAGUGAACAUUAUGGACUAUAGCUCUGUUUUAGGAUGUCUUUUUGGCAUGGAGCUAUUGCUGAACAGGUGAGAGAACAGCUGGAUCAGAGGCUAUUGAUGAAAGGACUAGCAGGGUGUAAUUCAGCUGAGGCCAAGAAGGGAAGGAAGGCAGUUCCUUGAGAGCCUUUUGGCAUAACAUCUGCACAGCUUGGUGCCCAUGUGUGGGUUUUGAUCUGUUGGGAUUUUGUGGCAGGAGGUUGGGGUAUUGUUGGCAGUGCUAGAGUUCACUAGGACUGCAUUCUCUAAAAAUUAGGGGCCCAUUGCUGUUUUCAUACUGGCUGACAAAAUUUCUGGUCUGGCAUAUCUUCCUAGGCAGAUGAUUUUUUUCAAAUCUUUGGAUAAAAUAGGGCAAGGAGCAUUUGUACCAAAGUUAUCUGGAGACACAGAAAAGAUAGAAGUGAUUUUGCAAAAGAUAUGGAUACCUUCAUGGCAAAUAUCACUAAUAGCAGUAGGCAAGGCUAUGUUAAAUCUCCAUUUUCACCUCUCGGGGAUUUAGGGCAUGAAGAAAAUGUAACUAUUUCUUAGAGCCCUUCCUCUGGCUUUAGCUGUGCCAUCAACUAUGUUUCUGAGAAAUAGAUGCAUCAGAUCUGCAAUUAAGGAAUGAAUAGUGUGUUCUAUGAGCAGAUACUGGGCAAUGAGGAUCUAUAAAACAGCAUCUUUGCUCUUUAACUUGAAUCUUUUGAUCCAUGCUGUGGACCCCAAGAAAUUGAGGUAUCUUCCUUUCUCUGGGAAAGAAUAUCUUCACUGUUAGUAACUCACCAGAGUGUGUGCUUUUUUCUCAUUCUAGAGAAUAAGGGUAUGUGGGAGUCAGGAAUAUUGAUCCUGCUUGCAAUUCCUUCCCUAAGGUCAAGAGGAUGUUGGCCUAAGUCUUAGAAAUGUGACUUCAGUCUCUAAUCAGCAGGAUGACCAUCAGUAUCUGCUCUGAGUGACCGUUAUUUAUUUAGUUCUGGAUAGAACACAGGCCUUGCUUUCUGGGAAUGAAUAGAUAAAUAUAGAUUGAUGCCUUACAUGUGAAUUUUUUUCCCCCUCUCUCUUUCUCAAACCAUCAUUAAGUCUUUCAAAGUUUGAGGUAAGAGAGUAGGAAUCUAUUCUCUUUAAAACUUAGUCAAAGAAGACUUCCUAGAAUGAGAUGUGCUUUGAUUGGUAGGCAAAAGAGCAGCUCCUCUACUUGUCUAGCAGCACUCUUUAAGGCAGUAAUUGGCUUUGGGAUGAAUACAUAUGUGUGGUGACAUUUGGGCCCCUAGUGUGGUGGUGACUCUAGUUGAAGUAGUCUGAUUUUCCUUGAUACUGGAAGUAAUUGUUAUUAUUUUUUCACUUAUUUUCACUCACCCAUAUCAUUUUAGCACAUGCCAGGCAAGUCAAACAUCAUUCAAGUUCCCAAGUUAAGUGAGGAGCAAGAGAAAUAAGUGACGUGUAGGACUGGCUUUUCCUCAAAGACUGAAUAAAUAACUAAAAAGCCACAAGAAGUAUGAAAUAUAUGUGCUCUGAGCAGGUAACUCAGAGGAUUGAGAAUUCUGAAGGGACCCAGAUCGACAUUUCUGUUCCUGUGUCAUAUAUUAAACCCAAACCCCAGCCUCCACUAUCACUUUUACAUUAGCAAAGCAGGUAUAAUUCCCAACUUUAUGUACUUGCCUGAAAACAGAGUAGACAUAGAAAUGACCGCUGGUCAAAUGGCUGCUCUAGCUUGUUAUCUUUGCUUUAAAACUGUUGAAUGGAAUGAUUGGGAUGAUUGGAGUUAGCAGUAAAAUGGCUGGGAGAGGGUACAUGCUGAUUUCUUUUCCCCUUUCUCUCAAAAAGGCUCACUUUUUAAAUUAUACAAUAGGAUGAAAUCUCAAUUUGUAUCUGUUUUUGCACCCUUUAAACUAUUUUUUUAAAUAUUGGAAGAAUAUUGGUAGAUAUAGGGAUGAAGCUGAGCAGAGGCACUGGGAGAAGCUGGGCAGUUUAGAAAUGCACUUUAGAGUCACAUCAGUUUGGUCUCAGUACAUUUGUAAUAAAAAUCAUCAUUUCCAUGUUGACAACUUGGGACUUCUAACUGACUGUGAAUUAAUUCUCUAUUAUAGACAGCCCUUGUUUUUAAUCUGUGGCAAGGGGGAAUAUUUUCUUUUAAGGAUGCCAGAGGAAAGAACUAAUAGAAUUUGCUCAAAGUUUCUUCAUCACCAGGAAGGAAGGGCUCAAAAACUGAGGAAAAAGAACUUAACAUUUGAAAGUGGAUCUGUUUCAUGAUCAGUUAGAUUCAAAUAUAAGAUCUAAGUCUCUGAUCUGGGAAUGAACUGUUUAUUUGCUUUGGGGCCUCCCUUGCAAAUUAAUUCUGAUAUUCUUUUUCUCCCUUAGAAAAUUCUGACUUUGAAUAACUGGGCAAGUCAUUUAACUUUUCUGGCUUCAGUUUUUUUUUUCUUCUAAAUUUAAUGAGGGAAUUGAACUAGAUUGCCUCGAAGAUUUUCUUCCUAACCUAAAAUUUUCUGAUUCUGUCAUUAAGAAAUAGAAAUUUAUUGAGACAGCUAGGUGAUAUAGUAGAUAGACUACUAAUCUGGAGUCAGGGAAACCUGAUUGCAAAUGUGACCUCAGAUACUAGCUGUGUGAUCCUGGGCAAAUCAUUUAACCUCUGUUUGCCUUCGUUUCCUCAACUGGAAAUUGGGGGUGAUAAUAAUACCUACCUCCCAGGGUUGCUGUGAAAAUCAAAUGACACAAUAUUUGGAAAGUGGCACAUAGUAGGUGCUAUAUAAAUACUAGCUGCUAUGAUUCUUAUCAUUGCUAUUAUUAUUUAUAGCCCAUUUCUUACAUCAUAGUUUCCCCAAGUAUUCCUCUUUUACCUGCUCCUAAACAACCAUCCUAUAGACCAAAUAGUUUGGGUUUUUUGGCUUUUUUUAGAGGCCAAAAAAAGCACAAUUAAUCAAUUCAUUGAAAAAGUACAAAAAUCUGUAGUGUAUAGCACCAACUUCCAGAAAGGGGGUGGGUUGGGAUUGUCUUGUCAUCUCUUCAUUUGUGCCUUGCUUAAUCUUUGUAAUUUUGCUGCACUUGCUUUUCGGUUUUUUUUGGGUAUAAUUCUUUCUGUUUACUUUGGUUUGGGUAAUCGUGUGUGUGUGUGUGUGUGUGUGUGUGUGUGUGUGUGUGUGUGUGUGUGUGUGAUUUUUUUUUUGCUCUGCUCACUUUACUCUAUCUUACAUAUAGCAUUUACAUUUGUAUUCAUCACACAUCAUUUUUUAUUGCAUAGUAAUAUUCCAUUACAUUCAUGUGCCACAAUUUAUUUAGCUAUUUCCCAGUUGAUAGACAUCUAUUUUGUAAAAAAAAAAUGCUGCUAUAAAUAUUUUGAUGUCUGUGGGAACUUUUUUCUUGUCAGUGACUUCCCCAGAGAGUACCAGCCCAGUUAUGGAGUUAAAAGGUAUGGGCAUUUAGUCACUUUUUUUGCACAAUUCCAAGUUGUUUUCUAAAAUGGCCAGACCAGACCAUCUUAAAGCUCUGCCAACAACGUAUUAGUGUGUUUUUUAUUCUAUAAUCCCUCUAAUGUUGAGUGUUGCUAUUUGGGGUCAUUUUGCCAAUUUUCAGGGUGUGAGAUAAAACCUUAAAAUUUACCUUUCUCUUAUUAAUGAUUUUAAACAUUCUUCAUAUCUUUUAACCACUUAUCUGUUGGGGUAAUAGCCAUUACUCUUAUUUUUCUAAUUAUCUUUUAACUGUUAAAUCUGUUGGCCUUUCCUAAGACUUCAUUCUGUUUGACCUUUAUGAAGCUUUUGUUAUGGUCAACCACCCCUUGUCCUGGUUGCUCUUUCUUCCCUUGGUUUCUGUGGUAGAGUUCACCCAGUUUGUCUGACCAUUCUUAGCGACCACAUUUGGGGUUUUCUUGGCAAAGACACUGGAGUAGUUUGCUAUUUCUUUUUCUAGUUCAUUUUACAGAUGAGGAAACUGAGGCAAACAGGAUUACACUUGCCUGAGGUCACACUGCCAGUAAGUGUCUCUGAGACUGGCUUUGAACUAACUUAUGAAUGUGAAUCUUCCUGAUUCCAAGCCCAGUGCUCUAUCCACUGUCCCAACAAAGUUUUCCUGACUAUUCUUUGUUAGUUCUUUCCUGCUUUUAUCAUUCAUUUCUAAUCUCCUAAACAUGAAUUUUCCUUCAGUGGACUCUUCUCUUGACAUUUCUGUCUCACUGUCAUGGACAUUGUGGCAGUUAAAAUAGUGGGAGCCAUAAACUGUAAUAGUUAAAAUGGUUGAAGGCUAUAAACUGUAGUGAGUAAAAAUAGUUGAAGACUUAAAUUAUAGUAGAUAUAAGAGUGAGUGAGUAAAUUUGUGACCGCAGGAAAUAUGUUUUCACUACAGUGUCUUGUUUUUAAAUCAAUAUAUAAGGUGGUCGCCAGGGAAAUAUUCCCAAUUAUAAAUAUACCCAAGUCAACUGGGUUUUAUAGAGAAUUUAAUUAAUAAUACAAUGAGGAAUCAAAGAAAGAGAGAGAGAGAAAAAGGAAAUAAAUGAGAAAAGAAUAGGCCGACCCAGGCAGCUCUGGCCAACCCAGGCUUAAGCCCUAAAAGAAAAGAUCAGUCAGUCCUUAAUCACUCACCAUAAGAUCUGUUCAAGCGAGGAUUCAGGGGGAUAGAGUCUCCCCAGAGGGAGUUCCAGCCAGAGUCAGCCUCCCUUGAGAGACCUCCUUAGAGAUUGUCCUUCUCUCAACAAUCUCCUUAGAGGCUUUCUCUCAAGAGACUCAUCUCUUUCAACAGCCUGUCCUUUUUUUAUAUAGGGGGUUUUCUCCUAUGUCACCUUCCCUAAGUUCUUCCAUCUACCAAUCAUAGUAGACAUUUUCCAAAGGACAGCCCAUUCUGAAUUCACACCUGAGUAGACUAAUCCUUUUAGUAAUCCACACCUGAGUAGGCUAGAAUCUCUGAGUAAGUUUUUUCUUCUUUGCUCCUUGUAAGUUCACAAGUUGCCUGACCUUUAUAGGUACUUAGCACCCCUUUGUAUUAAUUCUAAAAAUAGGCAUGGCUUAAGUAUGGGUUUAAGUAUUUUUCAUUGUUCAGCAAGGAGUUCUCUCCCCUAAAGCAGUCUUAAGUACAGGUGGAGUAGAGGUCUUCCCAUUUUUGAUCUAAGUAGAGUUCUCACUGUCCAAAUGGGGAAUGUUCCCAAUAGGGAAUUGUCCCAAUGGAGAAUUCCCUAAUGGGGAAUUUUUUAACAUUCACAAGUCUGAGAAAUUUCAAGAUUCACAACAUUUCACAUUUUAUUUUAUCUCUAUACAAAUGAUUUCCCCAGUUUAGUUUCCUGAACUUUCUAGCUGCCUCUUGGACAUCUCUUCCUUUAAUGUCUUGUAUGCUUCUGGAAGCUCAGCAUGUCCCAAACACAGUUCAUUUUCUUUUCUGUUAAAUCUGCCCUUCUUCCAACCUUAUUUCUGAUGAAGGCACCACUGGCUUUUUAGUAGACCAUAAGCUCCUUGAGGACAGGGAUUCUUUCCGUUUUUGUGUCUGCAUCUCCAGUAGCCAGCACAAAGCUUGUACAUAGAGUAAGCUGGUCGAAUGAACCUAUCAUAGGUAAACCUGAAGAUAUAUCUUAGUUGUAAGAGGCUAGAUUAAGGGAGGAGGGUGAAUAGAUUUGGUCAUUGAGGAGGAGGAGUCACUUAAGAAGCCAUCGUUGAUUGCAGGCUAGGUAGGGGAAGGACCAGAGCUCUUAAGGAGGGUUAGCUGACCACAUCUGGUUAGCCUGAAACAUUAUAGGAUAUUGAGACAGGACCUAGUCCAACCUCUUCAUUUUAGAGAUGAGACCAUUUUACAGAUGAGGAAGGUUGUGACUCUUCCCAGUUUGGUUGAUUGGUUGUCCUUCGUACACACUAUGUUGGGGUACAGGUACAGUGUGUGCAACCAUGCCUGAUCAGACUACAUAGACCUAUCUAAUGUAGACCAUCGCUACCAUCAAGAAGCAAGGACAGGAUUUGAACCUACAUUUUCCAAAUUUAUUAUAUUCAAUAAGCUUUUAUUCAUUUUGUUUUUAAUCCAUCAAAGAAUCUUACUGUAAAUCUUUGGUAAAGUAACAAAUCAUCUCUUCUCCCCUAUUCUCAAUGAUCUUAAUGGUAGAUCUGGUCUUUUAUUUAGUGCUUCCAGCCAUGUAACUUCUGUCUCCCCACUUCCUUUCAAUAAAUUCCAGUGAUAUCCUACCACUUUUGGGAUCAAAUCUUCCGGCAGAGUCCUUCACAAUUUACCACCUCCACCCCCACUCCCACCCCCACCCUCUUUCUAGUCUUACAUCUCCUUCCCUGCUGUGUACUCUUCCUUGCUCUUUGCUGUGCCCUGAACAGAACACUCCCAUCUCUCACCUCCUAGCAAUUUCUCUGACUGUUCGUGCUUUUCUCCCUCCUCAUCUCUGCCUCCUGGUUUCUCUAGUUUCCUUCAGAUCCCACCUUCAAUAGGAAAUCUUCCUCAUCUUAGCACUCUCCCUUUUUCAGUUUCUUCCUGUCUGUCCUUUAUAAAGUUGUACAUAUUUAUUUCUUGCGUAUCCCGGUGUAUUAUGAACUCUUUGAAAAAGAAAAUUUUUUUUUGCUUCAUUUUGUAUCCCCAGCACAUAGCAUAGAGCUUGGCAUGUAGUAGGUGCUAAAGAAAUGCUUAUUGACUGACUUCUCAAGCAUGAUACAUCUGUAUUUUAGGUGGUUGUUGAUAGUUCCACAUGAUAUGGAAGCCUAUGGAAGGCCUGAAUGGCUGUAGAUAGUGAAUAUUGAAUUCUGAGCUUUUGAAUUGUUGCAUGGUAGAAUUUUAGAGUUGGAACUUGAGAGAUCCUAUAGGUCAGCCUCUCAUUUUUCAGGUGAGGAAAUGGAUAUAUAGAAAAAUGAAAUCAUUUGUCCAAGGGAAUUUAAAUAUUUCCAUCUAAGUCACGAUGUUGGGAGCAUUUGCUUGAGAAAAAAGUUUCAGGUAGAAGGUUGCACCUGAACUGAGUCUUGAAGGAAAUCAGGGACCUGAUUUCAUAGGAGGAAAAUUUUUAUGUGUGUGGCGGGGAGGAUCAUAAAGAUGCUAAAAACAAGGACUUUCAGAGAUGAUUCUGUUUGGAGCAGCAAAUUCACCUAUCCACACCAAUCCUUCUUAACUUGUAUCCCGGCAGGUCAGUUGCUGGGAAGGAGAUCUAAGGUAGAUUGGCUAAAAAGUAAAGCUGUGAGAUUCAAGAGAUUUUCUUUGUUGAAAAGUGUAAAAUUCUCUGACUUAUCAAGGUGAGUAGAAGUCUUUAGAAGUGAUCUAAACAGGGGUGUCAUAUGUUGCAAACUUUUGUUACGUCUCUGUCCUAAAUCUCACUCUUACUCUAAAAUGCUUGCUUUGUGAUAGGUAAUAUUCAAGGUAUUGGGGAUACAGAUAGUAAAGUGAUAAAUUAGUCCUCCCUGUUCUUCCAUUUACAUUCUAAUUGGAGAGAAGACAAAUAUAGGAGAGUUCAAUUGCUAGGGUGGAAUUGGGUGCUGGUUGAUAGGAUUUCAACAUUUCUUAUUUUCUGAGUUGUGGAUAUUGCAAUCUAAAUGUUAAGAUUCCAGUGGUUAAAUCUACCUAUUUUAAAGCCACUUAAGGCAAUUUAUAAUUAAAUUUUUUUACAAUUACUUUUAGAGCUAAAUUAUUAGUGAUAUAAAUAUUGUCACAUUUAACUUGAAAUACAGAUAAUUACUAAACUCAGUAUAAGACAUUUAACCACUGACAGUUUUACAGCAAGUUUUGUUUGUGUUUUUUAAAUAAUUUUGGGGCCACGUAGAUGGCAUAAUGGACCAGACCUAGGAUCAAGAGGACCUGGGUUCAAAUUUGGACAUUUCUUAGCUGUGUAACCCUGGGCAAGUCUCUUAAUUCCAUUUGUCUAGCCCCUGCUCUCCUGUCUUAGAAUUAUUACUAAGAUAGAAGGUAAUGGUUUUAAAAAAUAAUGAUAAUCUUUAUUUUAAUAAUAAAUUUCUAUAUACGUUUUCCAAAGUUAUAGGAUUCAUGCUGUCUCCCUCCCUUUUUCCUCCCCCACCUCCCCCCCGGAGUUUAUGAGCAAUUCAAUCUGGGUUAUAUAUGUAUUAUCAUGCAAAACAUUUCCAUAGUUGAUACUAAUUUUGACAUAGUAAGACAUGCAAUCCUUUUGCAGUUAGCAUUUUGUCAAAAGAAGGGAAGCCAUUUAGUUUUAACAAGUUGGUACUGAGCCAUUUAGUCUAUUUAACCUGAGUUUUGUUGACCUUUAAGGUUGUCUUCAUUUAUAGUUGUUCAUUUGUAUAUUCUUUAUACAUCUUCAUUCUGUAUCACAUCUUGUCAGUCUUUUUUACUUUCUUUUUUUUAUUCUUCAUGUUCAUUGCAACUUGUGGUAUAAUAAUCGUUUGCAUCCUUAUGCCAUGUUUUAUUCCAGGGCUGUUUAUUCUACCUAAUUCUUUGGAGAUAAGGGUUUUGCUGGUUUUAAUGCCUCUAAACCUGUGUUGGUGAACCUAUGGCAUGGGGGCUGGAGGGGACUGAUCUCCUUCCCCCUCCCCCAUGCCUGAGGACAUUUCUCCCAUGACCCACCCCUCUGCCCAGCAGCCCAAUGGAAGUUCUUCUUCUCUCCUCUGUCUGGGGUCAGGUGGGGGGCUUGCAUGUGAUAGGAGGGUUGCAGUUUGGGCACGUGUCUCUAAAAGGUUUGCCAUCACUGCCCUAAAUGGCUCUUUAGUAUUGAGUAGAACUCAUCUGACCACUGCAGGUUGGCACAUUUCUGCCUAAAGAUAUGCAUUCAGGCUGGUACUCACCUAAAAUCUUUUCAUUGCCGAGUCCUGUCUCUGAAUUUUCUAAUGGAAGCAUAAAGCUCAGUAAUCAAUGAAGAUUUUAUCAUUGCUUGUCAAUGAACAAGUGUUUGAGCAGCGCAUGGACUGUGCCUAGCAGGAUGCUAUAGGAGGUCUAAAAGUGUGGGACAGGCUGCCUGCCUUUGUCUAAAGCUCUCACAUCUCACUCGCGUGAUAGGAGGGGAAUCGCUGUCCUCUCCUCCUCGUUCCCCUCACGACAGCUUGGUCCUGCACAAGGGCGAAGGCUGGUAGAGAGGAAGAUCGGGGAGAAGGUCAUUGUGGCAUCCAGGCUCGCAGUCAAAGGCUGGGACUCGAGUAGCGGCCACAGUAGGACCAGAAGGGAGGGAGUGGAGGCAGGAGGCAGCGGGACGGUGGAAUGGGGGGACACCAGAAGGAGGAACAUACCUUGGGUUUAAGGGACCAGCGACUUUAUCUAAAUGGAGCUCUAGAGUGGGCCAUUGGAAAUGCACGUCUGGAGCGAAGGAGGUGGGUCAGAAUCCGACAUUUCAAAGCCAUUCAUCAAUGAGCAUUUAUAUUCCUGCAGUGUUCCAGGCACCGUACUAGGCACUGGGAAUACCGAGACAGACACAGACACACAGACACAUAAGAGAGAGUGUGUGUAUGUGUGUGUAUAUACAUGUAUAAAAUAUAACAUGUAAAAAUAAAUAUGUAUGUAAUUAUACAAAAUGGAUCCAAGAUAGUUCGGGAAAUGAGUAAGCUUGCUACUAGAGGGACUAGAAAAGGCUUCACUUAGAACGCAGUACCUGAGCUGAAUCUUCCAGGAAAUCGGGGAUCUGGGAGGUGGAGGUGAGGGAAUGAUUGCAUUGCUGGCCCUGGGGCAGCCUUUGUGAAGGCACAGAGAAGGAGCAGAGUGUGUGUAGAACAAGUUGGCCAUUAUGAUUAGAUGGCAGGGAUUGUCGAAGGGAAUAAUAGAUCAAAAGACAAGAAAGAUAGGAAGGAACCAGGUUGAGAAGGGCUUUGAAUGCCAAGCAGGAAUUUAUACUUGAUCUUAGAGGUUAUGGGGGAACCAGAAGAUAACAUGCUGGAACAGUAUUGUGAAGGAGAAUAUCAGGAAAUAAUCCAGAUGACUGGAUUCCCUUGGUGACAUUUAGAAAGCAGCUGGGUUUGGGGAGAGGAAAGUUCUGUUUUGGACUGGUUGAGUUUGAGAUGCUUAUGAGACAUUUCAAUUCAAAGUUGUCAAGAAGGAAUUCUUGAUGCAGGAGUGCAAUUUAGGAGGGACGUUAGGGAUGGACACAGAUUUAGAAGUAAUCCCUGUGGAGGAGCCAAUUGAACCCAUGGGAAAUGAGAUUCCCCAAGUAAGAAUGUGGAGAAAAAAAGAGAAGGGUUAGGGCAUUGGGGUGCACCCAUAGUCGUGUGCCAUAGGUGAUGAAAAAGUAAAGAACUGAGGAACAGUCGGACAGAGGGGGAACCAGGAGAAAGUGUCACGAACAUCUCAGGAGGAAAAGAGUAUCUGGGAAGAGAAGUCAUCGUUGUCCUGCUGCAAAGAGAUCAGGAAGGAUGUGUUUGCCAGAAAUAGUGUCAGACUUGGAAACGGGAAGACUUGGGUUUGAAUCCUUCCUUAGACAUAGAAUAGUUAUAUUAUCCUUGGCAAAUAGUGGAGCUUCUUUGGGCUUCCAUUUCCCUCAGGAGAAUGAGAUGGGGAAUCGGUGUCAAAAUAGCUUAGGGGUAAUGAACCUUAGAUGUUUUGCUAUUUUCCCUAGUCUUAUUUAGUAGCCACGUAGCAGAAUUCACAUGGCCACCGUUAUUAUUUAGUUGAUGAUUAGGAUUUGUCAAGCAGAGGAGGGAAAAUGAAUGAUAGUGAAUCACUGAAGUGGAUUUACUUUGAGGUCAAGACUAAUCAGGAAAGUGAGAGCCACUAGAGUGGCAGAGAUAGAUGGGAAGGACAUGGUGCCAUUUAUCACGUCAGCAUGGCUCUCCUUUCUCUACCCUAGAAAAUGGCUUUCUUCUUCUACCUUCCCUUUCCCAUGUUAAAUAAAAUUCAUUAAAAAAAACUGGUGUUAGAGGCUUUGUUUUAUUUUUAUUUCUUAAAGCUCAUACCUUCUGUAUUAGAAUCAAUAUUAAGUAUUGAUUCCAAGGCAGAAGAGUGGAAAGGGCUAGGCAAUUUGAGUCAAGUGACUUACCUAGGAUCACACACAGCUAGGAAGUAUUUGAGGUCUGAUUUGAAUCCAUGACCUCUUGCCUUUACACUUGGCUCUAUCCACUGAGCCACUUAGCUGCUCUUAGUGGCUGUUUUUAAGGGAAGGGAAAAAAAAUGUGCUAAAAAUCAGAUCUCACUCUCACCAGAUCAACUUGUAUAUUUUACUGGAAACCAGCUUAUCUUGACUUUCCUUUUUCUGUUAGUGGUACCCCUAAUCCCGCCUGUCAGCUUCCACUUCUCUUCUGUCCGUUGUCUGAUCUUAGAGAUCCGUUCUUUCUUCAGAAUGUGUUUUCCCAUCCCUUCUUCUCUCCCCUCCAUCAUUCCUUAGUCCAGGCCUCCAUAUCUUGUGUCUAGAGUAUAUGGCUCUAUGCCUAACUUCUUGCACCCAAUCCAUUUUACGCAGUACUGCCAGGUUCGUUUUGAGGACUCCCCUAUCCUCAAGCUCUCCUCAGCUCAUUUCCCUACCCGAGUGUAUUUAAGGACAAUCAGUUGUCUGCCCGAUUCAGUCCAUAAGAGCCCUCCCCAGUCUGGCCCCAUCUUGCUGCUCUAAUUCCCAUACACACUACUCUGGUCAGAUGAGACUGCUCUCAACCUUUCUUUGUUCCCACCUUCGUGCCUUUGCUCCCUCUUUUCUUUACACCUGGAACAUUCUUUUGGCUCUCUGCCGGCUGAAGCCACGUUGAACCCCUGAGAACUAAUCAUUAGCUCGUUGGAAUCUUCUUAAUUGGAAUCUGCCUCUGCCCCCCCAGAUGUAACACUCCUUUGUCUAAAUCCCAAGAGCCUGUCACACCUCCUCUGGUACUGUGCAUGGGCUACGUUUACAUUCUCGUCUAUAUUCUCCACUAGCAUCUAUGUUUGCUAAGCCCAGAGAUUUUCCUAGUCUUAUUUUUCCCCCUCAAUAAGGCCAGUACAGAGCUCAAUACAUUAUUUCUUACUGAACCAGACAAUGGUCUUUCCUUUUUAAAAGCUGAUCUUUUUAUUUAAAUGAAAUAAAGUCAGGCAGACCGGCAAUUGAACUUCCAUGGUCUCUAAUUUUCUUCUAGAAGCUGCUUAAACUUGGACUUCAGGGUUCUCAUCAUUUUAUUAGUGAGGAAACUGGCUUAGAAGGGGAAAUGAUUUUUCCAAAGUUAUGGAGCUAUCCAUUGGAAGAGCUGGGAGAAGACUCCCGGUCUCUGGCUCUAUCACUCCCCCAUCUCAAAGCAUCCUCUGCUUUUAGUGGAAUUUGUGAUGUCAAAUAUAGGAGGAAAAAGAUAAGCUUAAAUUUUAGUGGAAUUUUUCUUUCAGGGAGUUUGAUAUACCUCUUUUUGGAGCCCUUCCCAUAACUCUUACAAACCUGUGGGAAGAACAACAGAGCUUUGGAUUAGUGCACUCACUAAUCAGUGACUUCAAACACCAGCAAAAAUCCUGCUAUAAAAUUUUGCUAUACAAAGGGUGGGUUAAGGAUGCAUAUGGAAAAAAACAAUACUUAAUUAUUUAUGGAAAGUUAUAGAAAAUAGGUGAAUGGGUAAGGAAAGCAGCGAAUUAAAUUUUGUGAAAUGCUUAUUUUUGUGGUGCGCUGGCUUCAAAUUGGAUUUCAGAGACUUGCAUGACCCUGGGCAAGUCACUUAACUCCAGUUACCUAACCCUUACUACUCCUCUCUGCUCUGGAACUCAUACUUUUAUUGUUUCUAAAACAGAAGGUUAUGGGUUUUAAAUUUUUUUUAAUGCUUACUGUCUCCUAGUAGGGUUUGGGGAAAAUGCAAUAAUUAAAUAAGACAAGGUCCUUGCCUUCAUUGAUGUGAAACUCUUAGAGGACUUUGUAAAGUGUUUUGUUUGAAUAAUCUUAUCUGUGCUACACAACCACUUUGUGAGGUAAGACUAUUGGGAUUUUCCCCAUUUAACAGAGGAGAAAGCUAAGGCUUAAUGACUUGUCAAGUAAAUUUUAUGGAGAGAAUUCAAAUCCAAAUCUUCCCGACUCUCCACUAUGCUGUGCUGCCUCUCUUAAGGAGAACUAAAAAUGUGGUCAGGAAGGAAGACUUGUGAAAAAUGAAGUGUCAGAAGCAGUGAAUUGAAGGAAGACAAAUUGUGCUCCGAUGCUUUGGGAAAGUGACUCUCUGAGCCUCAGUUUCCUCUUCUAUAAAAUGAGGGAUGGGGCAAGGGGAUUAGAUGGUCUCUCAAGAUUCCUUUCUUUUUUCCAGACCAUCAUCCCCUGGUACACAUGGAAAUUGAUUUAACUAGACUUACCUAAAUCUAUGUGUACUUUCAAAAGCGGGUCAUGCUUUCAGUUUUGCUGAACUUUGUAUAAGUGGAAAUUUUCUGCUUAUACAACUUUUAACUCCCACCUGUCCUUACAACAGCCCAGGACCCUGAACUCAGUAUAGUAGUGCCCCCAAGUACCAAUCCUGCUUCCAAACUGGCCCCCACAGCCUUCCUUGGAGGAACAACCCUUAUGGAGAUGCAGCCUGGUAGGAACUGCUCCUGAAGCCAAAACCCCGGCACCUCUCGGCCACUGAAGACCACUAAAGACCCAGAAAAGAAGUUCUCUACACCAGAAGCCCUUGGCCCUGUCAGGUGGUUCAAUGGAAAUGAUAUUAAAAGUGAUUCAUAACCCUUUGCUUGGUUUCUGCCCCCCGGAGAACCAUGGCACCUUCCCAUCUGUCGCGUAGCUGCACCCAGGUGUGUGAUCUCCCCGUGUGAAUGUGAGCUCCUUGAGCAGGGACAGGCUCUGCUCUUCUGUGGGUACCCCCAGCAUUUAGCCCAGCAGAGUAAAAACUUCGAUCCAUUCAGUCUCUCCUUAUACGUAAUCUUUUACCGAAGUGUAGGCAUUUUCAUAUUUUUGGGGCAGGGGAACAGUGCAGGGAACACAGGAGAAUAAUGGAAAGUAAUGACUUGUGCUUAUUUCCAGGUAUUUUGAUUUCUUCUCUCAUGUACUGGGAAACAAAAUGUUCACGUGAAGAAUCAAAUCGAUGAUUCCCAACUUCAUAAACUCAUUAUCUUUAGCCCUUGGGUGGAAAUAGGAGUGGAGGAAACAGGAGAAAGUCUUGGGGUUCUGGGUAGUGGUAGGCACCAAGGAAGGUGUCUGAGCUCUGGCUUCUUUGCAGACAGCCUUGUUUUUAAGGUCUUCUAAUCUGACACGAUGAGUUCAGGCAACAUGGGCGCCAUCUUCCUAGGCUCCUAAGAUCAUCAAGAUUUGGACUCUGUUGUCAUUCUGUGGUUAAGUGGCCAGAAUUGGUAUGAGGAUUGGAGGGGGAAAGUGGUAAGGAAGAUUGGUGGGGAAAUAAGAAAGAAGGUCCAGUACAGAGAUCUAUUGCUUAUGAAAAAAAUAGAUAUUUCUAGGAUUCAGGUUAGUAUUCUGGGUCUAAGUAGUCCUCCACUGCCACCUGGAAUUGAACAUCCCAACCCUUUAUCCUAGGCUCUGAUGGGUGAGUCACCUCAUUUUGUGAGCCCACCAUUCCACUUCCCAGGCCCCGUUCAUGCUUCCCUGAUCCCUUCCUCUCCAACCCUAGCUCAGAAAAUAAUUAUGAAAACACACUACUAUCCUUGGUAAGGGGGUGCCAAUUGUUUACUCGAUUAUUCUAAUCCCUGUUUAUUCUAAUCACCAUUUUUUAAAAUUCCCCUUUCUAAAAAACUUCCUUAGCCACUUCUAUAGGCUUAAAAAAAUCCCAAACCACCCUCACCUUUUAAGACAGAAGCUAGCAAAGGCUAGGCAAUUGAGGUUAAGUGACUUGCCCAGGGUCCCACAACGAGGAAGUGUCUGAGGGCGCAUUUGAACUCAGGUCCUCCAGACUCCAGGCCUGGAGCUCUAUCCACUAUACUAGCAGCUGCCCCAACUCUUCUUCUCUGUAUGUCUAUUUAAAGGCAGGGACUGUCUUGUUUGCUUGUAGAAUUUUAUUUGGGCUACACAACCACCCUGUGAGGUAAGACUGUUGGUAUUAUGCCCAUUGAACGGAGGAGAAAGCUGAGGCUUAGUGACUUGUAUCCCUCUCCCUUUGCUGCAGUGUCUCAGCAGUGAGUGCUUUUCGUUCAUUGAUUCUUUAAACAGACACAUCCCUAUUUGUUCAGCAGGUUAACCCGUGUUUCUUUGGCAGACAAGGGGAGCACGGAGAGGGUUUUAAGCAACAGGGGCAGGAGAACCACGUAUGAGAGGUAAAUGUGGGAGUGGUGAGGGCUGGAUUGGAGGAAGGAGAGAACGCUGAAGUAGGGAGACCAGUACCAGGGCGGCAGCUCGGGCAAGGCCAGAGAGAAAAGAUGUAAGGCAGAAUGCAUAGGGAGAUCCCCUCGUUUUAUAGGCAGGAAAUGAAGACCCACAGAGGUUUAUUGACUGGUCCGAGUUCUUUGGGUUGGCAUGGGGCAGAGGCAACAUUUGAACUCGGGACUCGAAAUCUGGUCCUUCUACAUCUUAUCAGGGAAGAGGCAAGUGCUGGGUACUGCGUGUUCCGCAACUCUGCAAAUGUUUGUCGAUUGAGGAAAAGCUUCUCUGAACUAUUAAGCAAACGGAGCCAAGAGUGUCGCCUUUUCUGUUGCCUGAGACGUGUUUAAUCUGUUGGGGGAAGGAGCAAGAAAAGCCUGUUCGAGUGGGAGAGAUUUUGUUUCUCAGAUGGUUCCCGAUGGCCUUUCGUACAAAUGUUCUGACAUACAAAUUGGCCUGCUCCUUCCAUCCACCUGUUCGCCCGCUCUAGGGGCCGGCUGCAGUGUUUAAAACCAAGCAUCCGGCGAGCCCACGUCCACCCUUUGCUGCUGCUCGUGUCCCUAGGGUUUCUCUGCUCUCCUCUGGGGGGGGCAUUAGAAACGGUUGCUGGAUUUUUGGCAGAUCAUCCCUUCCUGCUGCCCCCCCUCAGAAAAGGACAGCUUGAAAUCCUACCCCUUCCCUCCCAGGGGAAGGCCUGACCAGGCGGAGGGAGCUCCUUCGGACAGCACACUGCUGAGACAGCAGUGAUAGGUAGAUAGAUAGACAGAAGAACUGUCUCCCCAGGAGACAGACCCAGCCCCAGGGUCACACGGGGAAUCCCCUUCGCUCUCCAGGUUUCUUCUUUCCGUCGGGAAUGAUCUUUCACCGUGGCUAGAGGAGGCGUCUCCUUGGUCUUCCAGGAAAACUUGUUCUCUGGAGCUGAGGAGGUCCGUGCAGCCUAGAACGCGAAGGGAAAGUUUAGCUUCGGAAGCCGGGUAAAGAUGGCACUACUAAUCUUAUACUCCAAAGAGGUUUUAAAAAAAGGAAAAGAUCUGUGUGUCUGAAAAGAUGCAUAGCGGCUCUUUUGGAAGGGAAGGGGGCUCCUACCAGUUGGGGAUUGGCUGGACAGACGAUGCUGUAAGUAGCGGAAUGUGACUGUCCCACGAGACGUGAUGAAAGGGACCGUUUUAGAAAAACCCAGGGAGAUGCGUAUGAAGGGGUGCAUAGCGAAGUGAGCAGAACCAGGAGAAAAACCGAUAUGAGCGUAACAGAUACAGGCAAUUUGGAAAGACAAGAACUGCGAACAACCAGUGCAGUGAAUGGAGGAUGAACCGCGCUGCCCACUUCCUGACCAAGAGAGGAUGGACUCAGGAAACACAACGAACCAUCAACAUUUCUACUUGGCCAUCCUGGGGAUUUGUUUAUAAUGCAGAUUUGCUAUAAGAUUUUUUUUUCCCCCACAAAUUUUUUUUUGUGGGGAGGAGAGAUGGGAGGGAGGAAAAAGAAAUACUUGUUCAUUGGACAAAUAAAUAAGUUUAAAAUGAAA